RNAcentral lists this ribosomal RNA (406 nucleotides) under uncultured bacterium. RNAcentral's name for it is "partial 16S ribosomal RNA". It matches the Rfam family "Bacterial small subunit ribosomal RNA", at positions 30 to 526 of the family's 1533-position model. The record is from RNAcentral.
AUUGAACGCUGGCGGCAGGCCUAACACAUGCAAGUCGAACGAGUGGCGGACGGGUGAGUAAUGUCUGGGAAACUGCCCGAUGGAGGGGGAUAACUACUGGAAACGGUAGCUAAUACCGCAUACCAUCGGAUGUGCCCAGAUGGGCUUAGCUAGUAGGUGGGGUAACGGCGCACCUAGGCGAAGAUCCCUAGCGGGUCUGACAGGAUGACCAGCCACACUGGAACUGAGACACGGUCCAGACUCCUACGGGAGGCAGCAGUGGGGAAUAGUGCACAAUGGGCGCAAGCCUGAUGCAGCCAUGCCGCGUGUAUGAAGAAGGCCUUCGGGUUGUAAAGUACUUUCAGCGAGGAGGCGUUACUCGCAGAAGAAGCACCGGCUAACUCCGUGCCAGCAGCCGCGGUAAUUC